ACCUGGGUGGCUCAGUCGGUUAAGCAUCUGACUUCGGCUCAGGUCAUGAUCUCGCGGUCCGUGGGUUCGAGCCCCACGUCGGGCU
Molecule: transfer RNA, 85 nt
Filed under: Felis catus (domestic cat)
Lineage: Eukaryota; Metazoa; Chordata; Mammalia; Carnivora; Felidae
Rfam family: tRNA
About the family: Transfer RNA (tRNA) molecules are approximately 80 nucleotides in length.
Source: Rfam by way of RNAcentral